CAAUAGCGUAUAUUAAAGUUGUUGCGGUUAAAAAGCUCGUAGUUGGAUUUCUGCUGAGGACGACCGGUCCGCCCUCCGGGUGAGCAUCUGGUUCGGCCUUGGCAUCUUCUUGGUGAACGUAUCUGCACUUGACUGUGUGGUGCGGUACCCAGGACUUUUACUUGAGGAAAUUAGAGUGUUUCAAGCAGGCAUACGCCUUGAAUACAUUAGCAUGGAAUAAUAAGAUAGGACCUUGAUUAUAUUAUGUUAGUUUCUAGAGCCGAGGUAAUGAUUAAUAUAGAGGAGGCAUUCUGGUUUAACUGUCAGACGUAAAAUUCUUGGAUUUUUUAAAGACGGACUACUGCGAAAGCAUUUGACAAGGAUGUUUUCAUUGCUUAAAGUAUAAAGGGGAUCGAAGACGAUCAGAU
RNAcentral lists this ribosomal RNA (407 nucleotides) under uncultured eukaryote. RNAcentral describes it as "bacterial SSU rRNA". It matches the Rfam family "Eukaryotic small subunit ribosomal RNA", at positions 592 to 1013 of the family's 1831-position model. The record is from RNAcentral.